This 226-nucleotide unclassified non-coding RNA is filed under the name uncultured fungus. Its description in RNAcentral is "sequence contains ITS1, 5.8S rRNA gene". The stretch from base 178 to 226 matches the Rfam family "5.8S ribosomal RNA", at positions 1 to 49 of the family's 154-position model. Lineage: Eukaryota; Fungi. The record is from RNAcentral.
UCUCCGUAGGUGAACCUGCGGAGGGAUCAUUACCGAGUGAGGGCUCACGCCCGACCUCCAACCCUUUGUGAACCAAACUUGUUGCUUCGGGGGCGACCCUGCCGUUUCGACGGCGAGCGCCCCCGAAGGUCUCCCAACACUGCAUCUUUGCGUCGGAGUUUAACACAAAUGAAACAAAACUUUCAACAACGGAGCUCUUGGUUCUGGCAUCGAUGAAGAACGCAGC